CUCUCGAAUGAAGAUUACAUUAGUCAGCUUAUUUCCGAAUCUCAUAAUGCGUACGACUAUUACAGUGAAUCCGACGCGGAGACGGGCCUUAACAACGAAUCAUUAGAUGCACCUGAUUCUGGGGAGUCGCAGUCGUCGGUCAUCAUGAGUGAGGUGCCAUAAGAUGAUGGGGCAAAGAAUGUCCAAGAUACUGCCAGUGCAGAUGAUAACAGGGAUAUGUUCAUGCAGAUAAUGAAAAUGACUUUUAUGUCUCACGAUGCUGCGUAUGAUUUCUACAACAGCUAUGCUAGAGAUAAUGGUUUCAGCAUUAGAAAGAAUAAGGUCAGGUAUAGCAAAACCGAGUCACAUCAUAUGCGUUAUAGGCGGUUUGUUUGUUCUAGACAAGGAAAACGUGACAACAAGUUGCUAACCGAGGAAGGACAUAGCCGUAGGCUCAGAGCCCAGAUACGCUGCUUUUGCGAAGUGCACCUGACUGUCAAGCUUGACCAAAAGCGUGGGGUUUGGUAUGUUGAAAGUUUUGAGAACAAGCAUAGCCAUAUGUUGGCAGGACCGGACGAGGUACCUUUUCUUUGGUCCCACAGAAAAAUCAAAGAG
Long non-coding RNA from Triticum aestivum (bread wheat), 594 nucleotides. RefSeq lists it as uncharacterized. The record is from RefSeq and is a predicted model, not a curated record. Lineage: Eukaryota; Viridiplantae; Streptophyta; Magnoliopsida; Poales; Poaceae. The transcript has 3 exons.